GAGAUUUAUCGACAGAGAAAACAUCUGGAAAUCAACUGGAAAUCUCAAAUCAGCUUCCACAGAACAGAGAGUCCACAGCAACACAAUGGUAACCAGCAGACGAGCUCCAACCACUCUGUGAGAGACUUGACCACCCAGAGACUAACUGCUGCUGCUGAGGAAAUAUUCACCCUGUUUCAACCAACUGUGGUUCAGUACGAGGAGGAGAUUGGUCGUCAACGCAGGAUGCUGGAAAUCAGCUGGAAUCCUCAAAUCAAGUUACACAGAGCAGAGCUCCAACAGGACCAUGACUGCAGAGAGAAGCAGCUCUUUAAACAGGAAACAAACUACUGUCUAGAACAGGAUGAACCAGAACCACCACAGAUAAAAGAAGAACCAGAACCUCUGCACAUCAAAGAAGAACCAGAACAUCCACAGAUCAAACAAGAA
Molecule: long non-coding RNA, 429 nt
Organism: Salarias fasciatus (jewelled blenny)
Lineage: Eukaryota; Metazoa; Chordata; Actinopteri; Blenniiformes; Blenniidae
Exons: 3
Source: RefSeq, a predicted model, not a curated record